UAUCUCUGUAGAGUCUGCAUAUCAAUAAGCGGAGGAAAAGAAACUAACAAGGAUUCCCUUAGUAACGGCGAGUGAAGCGGGAAGAGCUCAAAUUUGAAAUCUUCAAGGUUCUACCUUGACGAAUUGUAGUUUAAAGAAGUGUUUUCUGUUAGAUGAGUAGCAAAAGUUCCUUGGAAUGGGACAUCAUAGAGGGUGAGAAUCCCGUAUUUGGUUAUUCAUUCUAGCUUUGUGAUACACUUUCAAAGAGUCGGAUUGUUUGGGAAUGCAGUCCAAAAUGGGUGGUAAAUUUCAUCUAAAGCUAAAUAUUGGCGAGAGACCGAUAGCGAACAAGUACCGUGAGGGAAAGAUGAAAAGAACUUUGAAAAGAGAGUUAAACAGUACGUGAAAUUGUCAAAAGGGAAGCGUUUGACACCAGUGUUGUCUUUCCGAAAAUCAAUUACAAAUGGCUUGAUUUUGUGUUGUAUUGACCUUAUCAGCUUUCUUCACUUUUUUCGAGUCUUUCUUAAUGCACUUUUUGGUUAACAAGUCAACAUCAAUUUCUUUUGUUGUAAAAGAGUAUUCGGAAGGUGGCUUUCUUUUCGGAGAAAGUGUUUAUAGCCCUAUACUUCUACAAUCGGAGAGAUUGAGGUCUGCAGCGUAGAUCCUUCGGGGUUAGAUACACUUGUGCUAAGUUGUAGCUUUUCAUAGACAACUUGUUGACUAUGUUUAGUCAUGCGGCUUACUCGCUUGUGCUAUUUUACCUACGCUUAGGAUGUUGACUGAUAUGUAGUCGUA
Molecule: ribosomal RNA, 774 nt
Filed under: uncultured Neocallimastigales
Lineage: Eukaryota; Fungi; Neocallimastigomycota; Neocallimastigomycetes; Neocallimastigales
Description: partial large subunit ribosomal RNA
Rfam family: Eukaryotic large subunit ribosomal RNA
Source: RNAcentral